AGAGUUUGAUCAUGGCUCAGAUUGAACGCUGGCGGCAUGCCUUACACAUGCAAGUCGAACGGCAGCACGGGAGCAAUCCUGGUGGCGAGUGGCGAACGGGUGAGUAAUAUAUCGGAACGUGCCCAGUAGUGGGGGAUAGCCCGGCGAAAGCCGGAUUAAUACCGCAUACGACCUACGGGUGAAAGCGGGGGAUCGCAAGACCUCGCGCUAUUGGAGCGGCCGAUAUCAGAUUAGCUUGUUGGUGGGGUAAAAGCCUACCAAGGCGACGAUCUGUAGCUGGUCUGAGAGGACGACCAGCCACACUGGGACUGAGACACGGCCCAGACUCCUACGGGAGGCAGCAGUGGGGAAUUUUGGACAAUGGGCGCAAGCCUGAUCCAGCCAUGCCGCGUGCGGGAAGAAGGCCUUCGGGUUGUAAACCGCUUUUGUCAGGGAAGAAACGGUCUGAACUAAUACUUUGGACUAAUGACGGUACCUGAAGAAUAAGCACCGGCUAACUACGUGCCAGCAGCCGCGGUAAUACGUAGGGUGCAAGCGUUAAUCGGAAUUACUGGGCGUAAAGCGUGCGCAGGCGGCUUUGCAAGACAGAUGUGAAAUCCCCGGGCUCAACCUGGGAACUGCAUUUGUGACUGCAUGGCUAGAGUACGGUAGAGGGGGAUGGAAUUCCGCGUAGCAGUGAAAUGCGUAGAUAUGCGGAGGAACACCGAUGGCGAAGGCAAUCCCCUGGACCUGUACUGACGCUCAUGCACGAAAGCGUGGGGAGCAAACAGGAUUAGAUACCCUAGUAGUCC
This 791-nucleotide ribosomal RNA is filed under the name uncultured bacterium. RNAcentral's name for it is "bacterial SSU rRNA". It matches the Rfam family "Bacterial small subunit ribosomal RNA", at positions 8 to 796 of the family's 1533-position model. The record is from RNAcentral.